CAACAGGAUUAGAUACCCAAGCAGUCUUAGCAGACAAUUAUGAAUGCCAUAGAUAAGAAAAUAUAUUCUUUCUUAAAGAAGAGAGAAUGUGAUUUUAUCUAUAAAUGAAAGUGUAAGCAUUCCACCUCAAGAGUAAUGUGGCAACGCAGAAACUGAAAUCAUUAGACCGUUUCUGAAACCAGUAGUGAAGUAUGUUGUUUAAUAUGAUAGUCCGCACAAAACCUUACCACAAUUUGUAUAUUAUUAUCUAAAUACUGGAGUUGCACGGCUGUCUUCAGUUAAUGUCGUGAGAUUUUGGUUAAUUCCAUUAAAUUAACGUAAACCCUUACUUUAUUUAUAUUAUAAAGUAGCUCACCUCUAAAUUGGAUUUGAUAAAAGGGAAUAAGACAAGUCAUCAUGACCUGAAUAUUGUGGGCUAUA
This 420-nucleotide ribosomal RNA is filed under the name Sagedia cf. simoensis Malicek-179. RNAcentral describes it as "SSU rRNA". It matches the Rfam family "Bacterial small subunit ribosomal RNA", at positions 770 to 1218 of the family's 1533-position model. The record is from RNAcentral. Lineage: Eukaryota; Fungi; Ascomycota; Lecanoromycetes; Ostropales; Sagiolechiaceae.